Molecule: small RNA, 82 nt
Filed under: Flavobacterium glaciei
Lineage: Bacteria; Pseudomonadati; Bacteroidota; Flavobacteriia; Flavobacteriales; Flavobacteriaceae
Description: Flavo-1 RNA
Rfam family: Flavo-1 RNA
Source: RNAcentral
GAUUAGCCCAGAUAGUAAUGAAAAUCCUUUUUAUUUUUUUCUUUAAAAAAUAAAAAGAUUGCAAUGGAUAGCUGGAAUAGCU